Long non-coding RNA from Nelumbo nucifera (sacred lotus), 2896 nucleotides. RefSeq lists it as uncharacterized. The record is from RefSeq and is a predicted model, not a curated record. NCBI's taxonomy places the organism in Eukaryota, Viridiplantae, Streptophyta, Magnoliopsida, Proteales, Nelumbonaceae.
GCAAAUGCUGAACCGUUGCAAAAUUAUACUCUGGUUUAAAUUUGCAUUCGUUUGAUAAGGGUUCAAAAAUACAUUAAUCUUAAAUAUGCAAAAAUGUGUAUGGACUAGGAUUUGCAUCGAAAGUAAGUGACUUCAAAACCAAAGAAAAUUUUGCUCUCGUUAUCGGUCGAAGUAAAUAGGCAUACACAUUGCAUCGAUUUCGAUUGUUUCGAGAAUUUGGGAGAGAAGAGAACGAUUCUGAGCUUCGAUAGAGGUCGCUUCUCUCGUCGGAACAGAGAUCCGACCUUAUUAUCUAAAUCCACCGAUCUGCCUUUAUUUUCAGAGUGAGAGAGGUCCCUUUCAGAGUCCUAAUUUCAAGCUCCUCAACUCGAACAAAAAGCUGAAGUUUUAAGGCAGCAUUUUCUAUCUCUGAACCUCAAGCUUCAGUUGGAUAUCAGAAUCAGAAGCAGCCUCAAAUUUUGCAGCUUCAACUUGGCUGGAGCUCGACAACUUGGUUCUCAAGCUCAAAUAUCUAGAUGCAUCAUUUGCAUCUAAUUCAAGACUACAAGGCAGAGAUUCAAACCGUAGUGUUCGAUUCCAGCAUUUGCAUUUUCAUGCUAGGAAACAGUGCAGAAAAAGUUUUUAUUGCGUAUUUCUUAUUUUUCUGGAAUUUCUAUUAAAAUUUCUUGAUUUUUUUAUUUUAUAUAACUUAUUAAUUAAUUUGUUAUUUUUCAUAUUUCUUUAAUGGUGGGAGUAGUUGGAACACCAUUGGGUAGCAAGACAGUUGUAUUUGCAUUGAUGGAAGUGCCAAACAUCCAUAAAAAUUGUAUUGUUAUUUGCAUCGGUCAAAACAAAUGUGAGCUCAGUGCAAAGUGGGCGUGUAAAUCCUUGAACCACUUUGCACUCACAUGAACUGGAUAUUUUUGUUUUGUACUCCUUCCAAACGCAGCCUUAUUAAUUAAUGACCCCUACUUGUACUUGGUACAAUUAUAUAUCACCCAUAUGGGCCUCCUUGCUAUGUGACAAGUCAUUAACAUGUAUACUGAAUUUUUUAUUUGAUUUGUAAGACUGAAUUAGGUUCAGUGUGUGUGAUCAAACAACACACUUCGUUCAAAAGAUGGAAUCCACAUCAAUACAACAUCAUGAAAGCCUUUGUACUGGGUGUUUUUUUUUUUAUUCAAGUCAGGAAACUAAAUUAGCUUUUUUUGUGAUUUAAUGGAAAUGAAUAUGAUUUUAGUUUUUUGAAUUGGAAAAGAAUAUGAUUUUAGAAUUAGAGUGGAACCAUUUUCUUUUUGAAUUAAGAUUUAUUUAAUCCCUUCAGAAUUAGAGUGGGAGAAUUUACACCUAAUUUUUUAUUUGAUUAGGUUUUAUUUGUAAUCAAACAUCACACAUUAUUUGAAAGAAUAGUACCUACAACAAUGGAAAGCCUUUGUGCUUGAUUUUUUAUUUGAUUUCGAAAACUAAAUUAAAUUUUAUUCGUGAUUAAAAGUUAGAGAUUCAUUCAAAUUAUCAAGUGUCGGUUUUUAGGAGAUUUACUUUACAUUCUCCUUCUGUCGCCGACUGAUAGUGCCCACGAUAUCGGGCUGUAACCUUCUCGUUAAAUUAGGAUUCUCCGAUUCUGAAUGUUGCCCAGAUCACCGCCCAACGUCUGUGGACAGAUAAGUCGACUAAUUAUGGAAUCUAGGUUCUGUGCGUCCGUGAGCUGUAUUCAUGUCCAUCCAUGGAUUCUGUGGUUGUUCCAACUUCCAACCACGCACAGAAGGAGAAGGCCCUUCACCCACUUCACUUUUUUGCAAGCUGGUUUUCAUCAGCUUCCCAGUGCAUUACUAUUAACCCAAUUGCAAUUUGCAAUGAUGUUGCUGCUGUCCAAAACUGUGCUAUCUGCCACUUGGGUCCUCGUAUAUAGCGAUUUAGCAGUCAUCCAUAGAAACCAGAGAAGAGGUAGGCCAUGGGAAGCGUGAAAGAUAAGGCGAAGAGGACAUUACAUUCAACAGAUCAAUUUAGUCUUUGGCUGACCUCCUGUCUCCUGAGUCUUUGUCUCGCCAGCUUAAUCGUUGGCCUGCAAUUCUCUAUCAGAACUCCCAGGCCCCCUCCAUUUUUUUUACCUUUCUCUUCAACCUGCAAACCAUGCUGUUCCUCGUUUGCAUCUCCUGAUUGCUUUUCAUUGAUUUCUCCAAUCGGUUCAGGUGAACUCUUGAUGUGUUUCAUCAAGCGACCAAACAGAUGGUGUACGUGAGAUGAGCCAAAAUGGCCUUCUCAAGUAAAAUUAUAGAUAUUUUGGCUGAGCUUCUUCUUUGUUGACCUUCCCCAUUUUUAAUUUCUUAAAUAUGUUUUUGACCUCCUUGUGGAUCUUGGAAUCGUUAUCUCAUGCAAAAUAAAUAAAUAAAGAAAAUUAAAAAGAAAAAAAAAGCAAAAUGAGAUGCCCAUUUGACUAAGAAAAUGAAAUAACAAAACAUACCCUUCCCACCCAUCCAGUAGCAACUGUUGGACUUGAAUGCAGUGGAGAGCUACCUACUUUUGCUUUGCUGGUCUCUGCAUGAUGACAUUUCUUAUUUCAUCUUACCUGCACUAUGCAGUAUGCACCAUGUUUGAUACAUGCAAGAAAUCACAACAGAUGCCUCUUUGAAUUUUGCUUUUGCAAUCAAUAAUGCUUGCCUUGCCCCGACUCAAAACUAUAAUUACCACAGCAAACAGCAAUAAAUGCACAGAAGCUUAUUUUUCCUACCUUACAAAAUGCAAAAUAUUCAAAAGCAACAUAAUCAAUCAGUAUACCCCCCCCCCCCCUCCUACUCAAAUUCUAGAACAAAAACAGUUUUUUCUCAUAUAACUCUGCAUGUAUGUCACUCAAUAUAACUGAGUGUAUUCAAGAAGGCAUAAGUACAAAUUCUUCGAGAAAAAAGCAAAUAAAAAAAAAAAA